CCAGACUUGACAUGCGGCGGACGGGUGUGGAAACACACCUUCCCUUCGGGGCCGUCGCACAGGUGCUGCAUGGCUGUCGUCAGCUCGUGUCGUGAGAUGUUGGGUUAAGUCCCGCAACGAGCGCAACCCUUGUCCUUAGUUGCUAACGGGUCAAGCCGAGCACUCUAAGGAGACUGCCGGUGAUAAACCGGAGGAAGGUGGGGAUGACGUCAAGUCCUCAUGGCCCUUACGUCUGGGGCUACACACGUGCUAUAAUGGCCGGUACAAAGGGUUCCGAUACCGCGAGGUGGAGGCAAUCCCAAAAAACCGGUCUCAGUUCGGAUUGCAGUCUGCAACUCGACUGCAUGAAGUCGGAAUCGCUAGUAAUCGCUGAUCAGCAGGCAGCGGUGAAUACGUUCCC
Molecule: ribosomal RNA, 400 nt
Filed under: uncultured soil bacterium
Lineage: Bacteria
Description: bacterial SSU rRNA
Rfam family: Bacterial small subunit ribosomal RNA
Source: RNAcentral